AGUAGCUCAAUUUGGCAGAGCAGCGGUCUCCAAAACCGCAGGUUGGGGGUUCGAUUCCCUCCUGG
Molecule: transfer RNA, 65 nt
Filed under: marine eukaryotic metagenome
Rfam family: tRNA
About the family: Transfer RNA (tRNA) molecules are approximately 80 nucleotides in length. Their secondary structure includes four short double-helical elements and three loops (D, anti-codon, and T loops). Further hydrogen bonds mediate the characteristic L-shaped molecular structure. tRNAs have two regions of fundamental functional importance: the anti-codon, which is responsible for specific mRNA codon recognition, and the 3' end, to which the tRNAs corresponding amino acid is attached (by aminoacyl-tRNA synthetases). tRNAs cope with the degeneracy of the genetic code in two manners: having more than one tRNA (with a specific anti-codon) for a particular amino acid; and 'wobble' base-pairing, i.e. permitting non-standard base-pairing at the 3rd anti-codon position.
Source: RNAcentral